UACGGGGGGGGCAAGCGUUGUUCGGAAUUACUGGGCGUAAAGGGCUCGUAGGUGGCCAACUAAGUCAGACGUGAAAUCCCUCGGCUUAACCGGGGAACUGCGUCUGAUACUGGAUGGCUUGAGUUUGGGAGAGGGAUGCGGAAUUCCAGGUGUAGCGGUGAAAUGCGCAGAUAUCGGGAGGAACACCAGUAGCGAAGGCGGCACUCUGGGCCGGUACUGACGCUGAGGAGCGAAAGCGUGGGGAGCAAACAGG
Molecule: ribosomal RNA, 253 nt
Filed under: uncultured bacterium
Lineage: Bacteria
Description: partial 16S ribosomal RNA
Rfam family: Bacterial small subunit ribosomal RNA
Source: RNAcentral